GAUGAACGCUAGCUGGAGGCUUAAUACAUGCAAGUCGAGCGGGAUUGGGUAGCAAUACCCAUGAGAGCGGCGCACGGGUGAGUAACGCGUACACGACCUACCUCUGACAGGGGGAUAGCCCUGGGAAACUGGGAUUAAUACCGCAUAUUAUUCUGAAUAAUAAAGGUUUGGAAUGAAAGCUGAGGCGGUCAGAGAUGGGUGUGCGUCUGAUUAGCUAGUUGGUAGGGUAACGGCCUACCAAGGCGAUGAUCAGUAGGGGGCGUGAGAGCGUGGUCCCCCACACGGGUACUGAGACACGGACCCGACUCCUACGGGAGGCAGCAGUAAGGAAUAUUGGUCAAUGGGCGAAAGCCUGAACCAGCCAUCCAGCGUGCAGGAAGAAGGCCCUAUGGGUUGUAAACUGCUUUUAUCAGGGAAGAAACCUCUGGAUUUACUCCGGAGCUGACGGUACCUGAAGAAUAAGCACCGGCUAACUCCGUGCCAGCAGCCGCGGUAAAGUCGAA
Molecule: ribosomal RNA, 503 nt
Filed under: uncultured bacterium
Lineage: Bacteria
Description: bacterial SSU rRNA
Rfam family: Bacterial small subunit ribosomal RNA
Source: RNAcentral